RNAcentral lists this ribosomal RNA (386 nucleotides) under Vipera seoanei. RNAcentral describes it as "partial 16S ribosomal RNA". It matches the Rfam family "Bacterial large subunit ribosomal RNA", at positions 1998 to 2603 of the family's 2925-position model. Lineage: Eukaryota; Metazoa; Chordata; Lepidosauria; Squamata; Viperidae. The record is from RNAcentral.
GGCAAAAUGAGAGCCCGACUGUCUCUUAUAACUAAUCAAUUAAACUGAUCCCCCAGUACAAAAGCUGAGAUACCCCCAUAAGACCAGAAGACCCUGUGAAGCUUUAACUAACCUAUUAAACCCAAUAAUAACUAAUUUCGGUUGGGGCGACCUUGGAACAAAAAAGAACUUCCAAUAUAUGACCUCCUCAUUCAAAAGGCAAACAAGCCACAUUAGACCCAGUAUAUCUGAUUAAUGAACCAAGUUACUCCAGGGAUAACAGCGCUAUCUUCUUCAAGAGCCCAUAUCAAAAAGAAGGUUUACGACCUCGAUGUUGGAUCAGGACAUCCUAGUAAUGCAACUGUUACUGAGGGUUCGUUUGUUCAACGAUUAACAGUCCUACGUGA